This 933-nucleotide ribosomal RNA is filed under the name Relicina malaccensis. Its description in RNAcentral is "eukaryotic LSU rRNA". It matches the Rfam family "Eukaryotic large subunit ribosomal RNA", at positions 36 to 921 of the family's 3401-position model. The record is from RNAcentral. Lineage: Eukaryota; Fungi; Ascomycota; Lecanoromycetes; Lecanorales; Parmeliaceae.
UAGCAUAUCNAUNAGCGGAGGAAAAGAAANCCAACAGGGAUUGCCUCAGUAACGGCGAGUGAAAGCGGCAACAGCUCAAAUUUGAAAUCUGGCUCCGUCGGGGUCCGAGUUGUAAUUUGCAGAGAGAGCUUCGGGCUGGACCGCGGUCUAAGUCCAUUGGAACAUGGCGUCAUAGAGGGUGAGAAUCCCGUACGCGACCGUGCGCCGAGCCCGUGCGAAGCCUUUUCGACGAGUCGAGUUGUUUGGGAAUGCAGCUCCAAAUGGGUGGUAAACUUCAUCUAAAGCUAAAUACGGGCUGGAGACCGAUAGCGCACAAGUAGAGUGAUCGAAAGAUGAAAAGCACUUUGAAAAGAGGGUCAAACAGUACGUGAAAUUGUUGAAAGGGAAGCGCUUGCAACCAGAGCUGCCCGCGGGCGAUCAGCCGUCGUUCUNGGCGGUGCACUCGCCUCGCGAUCAGGCCAGCAUCGGUUCCGGCGGUCGGAUAAAGGCCUUGGGAACGUAGCCCUCCUCUCGGGGGGGGGUCCUUAUAGCCCUCGGCGCCAUACGUCCCGCCGGGACCGAGGACCGCGCCUCGGCAAGGGUGCUGGCGUAAUGGUUGCAAGCGACCCGUCUUGAAACACGGACCAAGGAGUCUAACAUCUAUGCGAGUGUUUGGGCGUCAAACCCCGGCGCGAAAUGAAAGUGAACGGAGGUGAGACCCCCGCAAGGGGCGCAUCAUCGACCGAUCCAGAUGUCUUCGGAUGGAUUUGAGUAUGAGCAUAGCCGUUGGGACCCGAAAGGUAGUUACAACCUCGCUGUAUUGUGGUUGGAACGGGAGCUAAUAAACUUGAGCAGAUGGUGAACUAUGCCUGAAUAGGGUGAAGCCAGAGGAAACUCUGGUGGAGGCUCGCAGCGGUUCUGACGUGCAAAUCGAUCGUCAAAUUUGGGUAUAGG